UGGGGAAUAUUGGACAAUGGGGGCAACCCUGAUCCAGCAAUGCCGCGUGAGUGAUGAAGGCCCUAGGGUUGUAAAGCUCUUUUACCCGGGAUGAUAAUGACAGUACCGGGAGAAUAAGCUCCGGCUAACUCCGUGCCAGCAGCCGCGGUAAUACGGAGGGAGCUAGCGUUGUUCGGAAUUACUGGGCGUAAAGCGCGCGUAGGCGGCUAUUCAAGUCAGGGGUGAAAUCCCGGGGCUCAACCCCGGAACUGCCCUUGAAACUGGGUAGCUAGAAUCCUGGAGAGGCGAGUGGAAUUCCGAGUGUAGAGGUGAAAUUCGUAGAUAUUCGGAAGAACACCAGUGGCGAAGGCGACUCGCUGGACAGGUAUUGACGCUGAGGUGCGAAAGCGUGGGGAGCAAACAGGAUUAGAUACCCCCGUAGUCC
Molecule: ribosomal RNA, 424 nt
Filed under: uncultured prokaryote
Description: bacterial SSU rRNA
Rfam family: Bacterial small subunit ribosomal RNA
Source: RNAcentral